This 42-nucleotide ribosomal RNA is filed under the name Oceanimonas sp. 21. RNAcentral's name for it is "partial 23S ribosomal RNA". Lineage: Bacteria; Pseudomonadati; Pseudomonadota; Gammaproteobacteria; Aeromonadales; Aeromonadaceae. The record is from RNAcentral.
GGUUAAGCGACCAAGCGUAUACGGUGGAUGCCCUGGCAGUCA